Molecule: ribosomal RNA, 253 nt
Filed under: uncultured bacterium
Lineage: Bacteria
Description: partial 16S ribosomal RNA
Rfam family: Bacterial small subunit ribosomal RNA
Source: RNAcentral
UACGUAGGGUGCGAGCGUUAUCCGGAUUCACUGGGUUUAAAGGGUGCGUAGGUGGGCAGGUAAGUCAGUGGUGAAAUCUCCGGGCUUAACUCGGAAACUGCCAUUGAUACUAUCUGUCUUGAAUACCGUGGAGGUCAGCGGAAUAUGUCAUGUAGCGGUGAAAUGCUUAGAUAUGACAUAGAACACCAAUUGCGAAGGCAGCUGGCUACACGAAUAUUGACACUGAUGCACGAAAGCGUGGGGAUCAAACAGG